Long non-coding RNA from Zingiber officinale, 250 nucleotides. RefSeq lists it as uncharacterized. NCBI's taxonomy places the organism in Eukaryota, Viridiplantae, Streptophyta, Magnoliopsida, Zingiberales, Zingiberaceae. The transcript is spliced from 3 exons. The record is from RefSeq and is a predicted model, not a curated record.
CAAGAAUCUUGGGAAUUUGAUUAUGGUGAAGGGAACUCUACUGGAGUGAAAGGAAUUAAAACCAAGAAGAAAACAGUCUCAGGUAAAAAGUUGAAAGGUGGGUUAGAGAAGACUUCAAGGAAAAGAAAAGCAUCGAGCAAAACAAAUCAAGCUUCAACGAUUGGUGUAGAUCAAACUAUUUCCAGCAUGGCCAUCGUACAAUGUGACCGGAUCAAUCAACAAUCUAUUAAUUUCUCAUCAAUUGGUAGCU